UGGGGAAUCUUGCACAAUGGGGGAAACCCUGAUGCAGCGACGCCGCGUGAGCGAAGAAGCCUUUCGGGGUGUAAAGCUCUUACGCCAGGGACGAUAAUGACGGUACCUGGAGAAGCAGCUGCGGCUAACUACGUGCCAGCAGCCGCGGUAAUACGUAGGCAGCAAGCGUUGUUCGGAAUUACUGGGCGUAAAGGGUGCGUAGGCGGCGCUUUAAGUUUGGUGUGAAAUCUCCCGGCUCAACCGGAAGGGUGCACUGAAAACUGGGGCGCUCGAGUAUGGGAGAGGAAAGCGGAAUUCCUGGUGUAGCGGUGAAAUGCGUAGAUAUCAGGAGGAACACCGGCGGUGUAGACGGCUUGCUAGACCAUAACUGACGCUGAGGCACGAAAGCGUGGGUAGCAAACA
This 402-nucleotide ribosomal RNA is filed under the name uncultured bacterium. Its description in RNAcentral is "bacterial SSU rRNA". It matches the Rfam family "Bacterial small subunit ribosomal RNA", at positions 355 to 774 of the family's 1533-position model. The record is from RNAcentral.